CAGAGAGUAGUUUAAGUUAAAAGAUUAAUUUUGGAGAUUAAUGAUAAAGAAUUUUUUCUCUGA
This 63-nucleotide transfer RNA is filed under the name Afissula sp. XL-2019. Its description in RNAcentral is "tRNA-Pro". Lineage: Eukaryota; Metazoa; Arthropoda; Insecta; Coleoptera; Coccinellidae. The record is from RNAcentral.